AUAAAAAAUGACAAGAAUCUACAGGUCGAGCAAGUCUCGUAAAUUUCACGAUUGCGAGCCACGCUUCACGCAACCGUGUUUGCGUACUUGUGUUUCGAGUUGCGUGGUCGUGCGGAGUUAUAUUUACCAAAUUUAAAUAUAAUCGUUUCUUUUCUGAUUCAUAAUAAUAUAUGUCAAUAUGGCUACUGGGUGUAAAAGAUAAAUCUUAUUCUAUCUGUUCUGAGUUCUGAGUUUUAGAUAAUUUUAGUUGUAUUUCUUUGUAAUUUUGUGUUGUACAAAGAUUAAUUUAACAUUUUCUCUGGAAGUAUUAAUUUAGAAAGAUAAUAUGCUUCAUUGGUGUUGUGUUUUGAAGUAGUGUGAAAUGCAAAGUAAUUGUGAUAGAGUCAAGAUAAAGUUCACUUUUAAACUGAACUAAAUAAGGUAUCUGAGAGACAACAAUGGUUAAAUGCAAUACAAUGUACAGGUUUUACUAGCGAAAUGAAAAUUUUCCUGUCCUGUCUGCUGUAAUCAUUUUAUAUCUGGUAAGUUACAAUUACAACAGUAACGAUUUUUGAAGAUGUUAACAUUUUAAUCUUGUAGGAAAACCAGCCGACUUAAUCGAUAAUAACAAUCUCCAGAUUGGGUUCCUUCAAUAAAUAUGGGCUAUAAACACAAUGAAAUAAGUUCCCCAAAAUCUAAAAUGGAGUGGUAUCAAAGGAGAAUUAAAGGAAAAAAUAUUCAUAUUGAAAUUAUUUAUAAGGCACUGGACUGUCUUAAAUUCUACAACAAUACUAGAAUCAGCUGAGAGAAGUGGUCUACAAAAAACCAGGAAGGAAACGGAAUAUGUGGCUACGAAAGGCAAAAGAAAGGUUUACAAAGCAAAUGUGACACAUUUUUUUGAAAUAUUUAGGAAUAUCAGUAAAUUGCAUUAAAAAAAUGUAUGAAAAGAUUUUGUUCAAUAAAAAUGUUUAUAUUUA
Long non-coding RNA from Diabrotica virgifera virgifera (western corn rootworm), 956 nucleotides. RefSeq lists it as uncharacterized. The record is from RefSeq and is a predicted model, not a curated record. The transcript has 2 exons. Lineage: Eukaryota; Metazoa; Arthropoda; Insecta; Coleoptera; Chrysomelidae.